Small nuclear RNA from Phodopus roborovskii (desert hamster), 156 nucleotides. RefSeq annotates it as U1 spliceosomal RNA. The transcript has a single exon. Lineage: Eukaryota; Metazoa; Chordata; Mammalia; Rodentia; Cricetidae. The record is from RefSeq and is a predicted model, not a curated record.
GUACUUACCUGGCAGAGGAGAUACCAUGAUCAUGAAGGUGGUUUUCCCAGGGCGAGGCUUAUCCAUUGCAUUGCUGACCCCUGCCAUUUCCCCAAAUACAGGAAACUUGAUUGCAUUAUUUGUAGUAGUAAAGGAUUGUGUUUGCGCUCUCCCCUG